UAAUACGUAGGGUGCGAGCGUUGUCCGGAAUUAUUGGGCGUAAAGAGCUUGUAGGCGGUUUGUCGCGUCUGCUGUGAAAUUUCGGGGCUCAACCCCGAACUUGCAGUGGGUACGGGCAGACUAGAGUGUGGUAGGGGAGACUGGAAUUCCUGGUGUAGCGGUGAAAUGCGCAGAUAUCAGGAGGAACACCGAUGGCGAAGGCAGGUCUCUGGGCCACUACUGACGCUGAGAAGCGAAAGCAUGGGGAGCGAACA
Molecule: ribosomal RNA, 254 nt
Filed under: uncultured prokaryote
Description: partial 16S ribosomal RNA
Rfam family: Bacterial small subunit ribosomal RNA
Source: RNAcentral